Molecule: transfer RNA, 76 nt
Filed under: Fusobacterium necrophorum
Lineage: Bacteria; Fusobacteriati; Fusobacteriota; Fusobacteriia; Fusobacteriales; Fusobacteriaceae
Also listed under: 1 other name
Description: tRNA-Val
Rfam family: tRNA
About the family: Transfer RNA (tRNA) molecules are approximately 80 nucleotides in length. Their secondary structure includes four short double-helical elements and three loops (D, anti-codon, and T loops).
Source: RNAcentral
GGUCGCAUAGCUCAGUUGGGAGAGCAUCUGCCUUACAAGCAGAGGGUCAUAGGUUCGAGUCCUAUUACGACCACCA